AACAAGCUUUAACAUCCAAUCAAAAAGAGUGGGAUUCAAAAAUUACCCAAUCAGGAUCACACAAGCAGUGUGUCUGGAAACAGGCGGCAGCAUGCGGGGCGGGGCAGCUCUCUGCCAGCCGGCCCAGCAGCACGCCCUCCAACUGGCCAUGCGCAGGUCUGGCCAGCGGAGAUGCAGAGUGACAGCGAGGGGAGGAGAAAAUCACAAUGACCGUGCGACUCCAGCUCUUAGAAAAGGGCACUGAAAUGAUAGUUCACAGACCCAGUCCCUAGGGCCCUUUACCUGCCAGGAUAGAAACAGAAGUAUAGAAAAUUCGAGGAACAUCAAGUCAUACAGCCAAUAACACAGAAUGCAGAAAUUUGAACACAUAUCUGCUGACACCAAAGCUCUCCUUCUGUCUUCUCUACCACCACGCAUCCCAGUCCUUUUGACUUCUGGUCCAUAGACCUUUACAUUUCACAACCUGGUCUUUAAUGGAAUAAAUAAAAUUCCAGAACUUCAGGAUUGGGGGCUUAGUAAUCAGUUUAUGCUACUUUGCUACUAAAAUCAACACAAUUGCAUGUUCUUCAUCUAGUCCACCAACAUUUUUUGAACAGCUCCUUUGUGCCAAGGUGAUGGUGCUAUAGCAGUGAAUGAAGACAGCCACAGUCCUUGUCUUCAGGGGCUUUCAGUAAAGUAAUCUACUCCUCACACUUGAUCCUCAUUGAGAAGGCUUCCUGGCUGCAAAUGAGAACGAAUGCCACCUUGCUUUCAUAGACACGUGGAACUCCGUCGCUGCUGUUGCCAAGGAAAUAUCAUCAGCUGCAUUAUUUUUAACUGCUGCCCAUGAGUAAUAUCAGAGAUUAAUUGAUCAGCUAAAUGGGAAACACACGGAAAAUAGACCAGGAAUAAAUCAAGAAGGGAAAUGGUGUGCUGUGUCUUAUAUACCUCAGAUCAAUUGUGGUACAGCUCACUCAGCGAGGCUCCAGAUUGCAAAACAGCCUGCUUGCAAGGGGUCACAUAUAGGGCAAAUAGCUGGCUUAACGACAUACAAA
This is a non-coding RNA of Microcebus murinus (gray mouse lemur), 1034 nucleotides long. NCBI's taxonomy places the organism in Eukaryota, Metazoa, Chordata, Mammalia, Primates, Cheirogaleidae. The record is from RefSeq and is a predicted model, not a curated record.